This 65-nucleotide transfer RNA is filed under the name Hydrochus carinatus. Its description in RNAcentral is "tRNA-Ile". The record is from RNAcentral. Lineage: Eukaryota; Metazoa; Arthropoda; Insecta; Coleoptera; Hydrochidae.
AAUAAAGUGCCUGAUAAAAAGGAUUAUCUUGAUAGGAUAAAUUAUACAAUAUAUUGUCUUUAUUA